AUUGAACGCUGGCGGCAGGCCUAACACAUGCAAGUCGAGCGGUAACAGGAGAAGCUUGCUUCUUGCUGACGAGCGGCGGACGGGUGAGUAACGCGUGGGAAUCUGUCCAUUGGUGGGGGAUAACUUAUGGAAACGUAAGCUAAUACCGCAUGAUACCUGAGGGUGAAAGGGUGCCUCUUCUUGAAAGCACUCGCCGAUGGGUGAGCCCGCGUCGGAUUAGCUAGUUGGUGGGGUAAAGGCCUACCAAGGCGACGAUCCGUAGCUGGUCUUAGAGGAUGGCCAGCCACACUGGGACUGAGACACGGCCCUG
RNAcentral lists this ribosomal RNA (310 nucleotides) under uncultured bacterium. Its description in RNAcentral is "bacterial SSU rRNA". It matches the Rfam family "Bacterial small subunit ribosomal RNA", at positions 30 to 334 of the family's 1533-position model. The record is from RNAcentral.